GGGGAAGGAAAGAAGGUGCCGCAGCUAAGCCCAGGUCUCUCCUCCGCAGGUUCCAGUUCCUUUCCUGGAGCGUGUGUGGGGGCAACAAGGACCCAUGGGUUCGGGAAUUGAUGAGCUGUCUUGAUCUCAAAGAAUGUGGACAUGCUUACUCGGGGAUUGUGGCCCACCAGAAGCAUUUACUUCCUACCAGCCCCCCAAUUUCUCAGGCCUCAGAGGGGGCAUCUUCAGAUAUCCACACCCCUGCCCAGAUGCUCCUGUCCACCUUGCAGUCCACUCAGCGCCCCACCCUCCCAGUAGGAUCACUGUCCUUGGACAAAGAGCUCACUCGUCCCAAUGAAACCACCAUUCACACUGCGGGCCACAGUCUGGCAGUUGGGCCUGAGGCUGGGGAGAACCAGAAGCAGCUGGAAAAAAAUGCUGGUCCCACAGCCAGGACAUCAGCCACAGUGCCGGUCCUGUGCCUCCUGGCCAUCAUCUUCAUCCUCACCGCAGCCCUUUCCUAUGUGCUGUGCAAGAGGAGGAGGGGGCAGUCACCGCAGUCCUCUCCAGGUUUGCCGGUUCAUUAUAUACCUGUGGCACCUGACUCUAAUACCUGAGCCAAGAAUGGAAGCUUGUGAGG
RNAcentral lists this small RNA (619 nucleotides) under Pan troglodytes (chimpanzee). RNAcentral describes it as "retained intron". The record is from RNAcentral. Lineage: Eukaryota; Metazoa; Chordata; Mammalia; Primates; Hominidae.